AACCUAAAGCGGGACAGACAGACGGACGAACGGAGGAACGGACGAAUGAAUGAACGGACGAAUGGACGAAUGAACGAACUGACGAACGGGCGAAUGUACGAACGAACGCAUAGACUAGAAAACAUAAUGCCCAUUAAUGGGACAUGAAAAAUAACAAAUUAAAAUGUAUUGGUUACGACAUAUGAGUAUUAAAAACAUUUUUUAGGCCCCCUUCGUUAUGCGAUUGGGGCAUUUAGUCUUUUCCUUGUCCGUCAGUCCAUCCGUCGUGUACGUUCCCAGAACUAGUUUCAACUUACACAAUCCUAAUUACUACAAAACAAAGAUCAAAUUUGAAAUUGAAGGGCGUCUCUUUUACCGUUCUUGAGCAAUACCCCUUUAUAAAUGGACAAAGACUUGGCGCUAAAUCUGUCGUUUCCGGUCUCUACAUUUAGUUCGCCAAAUGUUAUUGAACAACAACACAAUGUUAAUUAACCUAAAACACAGAUCAAGUUUGAAAUUGGAUGUCGUCUUUUUUACCGUUCUUGAGUUAUGUCCAUUUAGUGUCCAAUUACAAAAAAAAAAAAAAAACAAACAAUGUCCCAAAGUAAGUGAUUCAAUAUUUUUGGCUUUUUUCAAAUAAAAACGUUAUAAUUGUUAAAUUGCUGGUGUUCAAUUUUGUUUCACUUUGGUUAAAAGGUUUCAGUAAAAAAGAUUUUCGUAAAAGAAAAUGAACAGCAACGGGGGCAAAGUGAGGAGA
This 736-nucleotide long non-coding RNA is filed under the name Mytilus galloprovincialis (Mediterranean mussel). The record is from RNAcentral. Lineage: Eukaryota; Metazoa; Mollusca; Bivalvia; Mytilida; Mytilidae.